Molecule: ribosomal RNA, 425 nt
Filed under: uncultured bacterium
Lineage: Bacteria
Description: partial 16S ribosomal RNA
Rfam family: Bacterial small subunit ribosomal RNA
Source: RNAcentral
GUGGGGAAUCUUGCGCAAUGGGCGAAAGCCUGACGCAGCCAUGCCGCGUGAAUGAUGAAGGUCUUAGGAUUGUAAAAUUCUUUCACCGGGGACGAUAAUGACGGUACCCGGAGAAGAAGCCCCGGCUAACUUCGUGCCAGCAGCCGCGGUAAUACGAAGGGGGCUAGCGUUGCUCGGAAUUACUGGGCGUAAAGGGCGCGUAGGCGGAUCGUUAAGUCAGGGGUGAAAUCCCAGAGCUCAACUCUGGAACUGCCCUUGAUACUGGCGAUCUUGAGUGUGAGAGGGGUAUGUGGAACUCCGAGUGUAGAGGUGAAAUUCGUAGAUAUUCGGAAGAACACCAGUGGCGAAGGCGACAUACUGGCUCAUUACUGACGCUGAGGCGCGAAAGCGUGGGGAGCAAACAGGAUUAGAUACCCGUGUAGUCC